UUAUAGUUGCGCAGGCACUCUAGUGAACCUCGGGCCAAUCGCACGUCCCCGUGAUGGCGACAACGAAUUCAGAUGUCUGCCCUAUCAAAUUUCGAUGGACUUUCUGCACCUACCAUGGUGACCACGGGUAACGGGGAAUCAGGGUUUGAUUCCGGAGAGGGAGCCUGAGAAACGGCUACCACAUCCAAGGUAGGCAGCAGGCGCACAAAUUACCCACUCCUGACGCGGGGAGGUAGUGACGA
Pelobates cultripes (western spadefoot toad) is the source of this 242-nucleotide non-coding RNA. The record is from the annotation of a GenBank genome assembly. Lineage: Eukaryota; Metazoa; Chordata; Amphibia; Anura; Pelobatidae.